GAUGAACGCUGGCGGCGUGCCUAAUACAUGCAAGUCGAGCGAACAGAUAAGGAGCUUGCUCCUUUGACGUUAGCGGCGGACGGGUGAGUAACACGUGGGUAACCUACCUAUAAGACUGGAAUAACUCCGGGAAACCGGGGCUAAUGCCGGAUAACAUUUAGAACCGCAUGGUUCUAAAGUGAAAGAUGGUUUUGCUAUCACUUAUAGAUGGACCCGCGCCGUAUUAGCUAGUUGGUAAGGUAACGGCUUACCAAGGCAACGAUACAUAGCCGACCUGAGAGGGUGAUCGGCCACACUGGAACUGAGACACGGUCCAGACUCCUACGGGAGGCAGCAGUAGGGAAUCUUCCGCAAUGGGCGAAAGCCUGACGGAGCAACGCCGCGUGAGUGAUGAAGGUCUUCGGAUCGUAAAACUCUGUUAUUAGGGAAGAACAAAUGUGUAAGUAACUGUGCACGUCUUGACGGUACCUAAUCAGAAAGCCACGGCUAACUACGUG
RNAcentral lists this ribosomal RNA (497 nucleotides) under uncultured bacterium. RNAcentral describes it as "partial 16S ribosomal RNA". It matches the Rfam family "Bacterial small subunit ribosomal RNA", at positions 28 to 507 of the family's 1533-position model. The record is from RNAcentral.